CUCACCGUGAUGUCAGCCUGCAAUGGUGUGCAGUGAGACGGACCGGAGGAGGGAGGAGAGGCGCACACCCACUUCCUUGGUCUGGAUCUCUGCUAACCUGGAGGCGAACCCUGUCCUCUUGCCGAAGGACUGAUCAUGGUGAAGCCCCGUCAACAGCCUCCUCAAUCCCAAACCAGCUCAGACAUGGCGUUUCUGAUCCCGCCACCUAUCGAAGAGGUUAUGAUAGGGAUGGGACAGUUUCUGAGUUUGGAAGGAGCGAGUCGGGCCAGUUGGAUUUGAAGGUGUGUGGUCCAUGCACUCAGACUGGAUUCCAAACAGUACAAGCUGAAGAUCAGACCUGGCUGCCCCUAACCCCAGAGGCCUGGAGAGGAGUGGCUGGUUCUUGCCAGAGACAUGGAAGCAGAAAGAUGAGAGAGAAGCAAGGACGUGGUCCUGGGGCAUCUCCUUGAUGUGCUUAUUUCUGGGCCAUUAAUUAACUUCACAAAGUGUUUGCAGAAAGUGAAAGGUGUGCACGCGUGUACACAUUCUCGGGACUUACCUGGUGCAGGGUCUGGACUGGAUGGAGGGAAACACGAGGUAAAUCUGAAGAGGAAGAACCACCGAGGACUAUAGAAAUUUUUCAGGGGAAAGAAAAGGUGGCAGAGAGCGUGGAGCUCCCAGCCGGUGAAAUUGAGGUUUGAGUCCCUAACUUCCAAGUCGACCAGCAUGCAGUGCCAAGGGACAGCCAGGAGGUGGCGCUGCAGCGCUUCAUUUAUCCAGGUUCCUCCGAGGUCUGUGCUUUGAGGUCUUUUGUUAUGUUUUAUUUUGGUGUUUUGCUUGCCAUGUGUGUGUGAAUUUUGUGUCUGCACUCCAGUAUUCUGGCUUGGAGAAUCCCAUGGACUGUCUAGUCCAAGGGGUCGCAAAGAGUCGCGGACUAGACUGAGCAACUUUCAUUUUCACUUUCCUGUCCUUGAACAACCUGUACCCGCCUACCUUCUUUUCAGCUUCUUUUAGGAC
Long non-coding RNA from Bos taurus (domestic cattle), 996 nucleotides. Lineage: Eukaryota; Metazoa; Chordata; Mammalia; Artiodactyla; Bovidae. The record is from Ensembl.